ACAAUGAUACUUCCGUAAUUCGCGGCUCGCUAUAAAGAAGGCGUGUGGUGAAACUCCAAUGG
This 62-nucleotide non-coding RNA is filed under the name unclassified sequences. Its description in RNAcentral is "pemK RNA". It matches the Rfam family "pemK RNA". The record is from RNAcentral.